CCUUGACAAGAGGGUGCUCAUGGAUGGCAAAGCAACACCUUCAGCAAGUCCAAAGAAAGCACGAAUAGCCAAGAGACUGGUUGUUGAGUGGUUGGCUGCCAAAGGAGUAAGAAGAGUAGCAAGAGACCAAAGGGCCACUCCCCAAGCCAUCACUCGUUUUCCUCCAUAUCUGUCAACCAACGCUCCUCCAACCACCGACGAAAAUAUGUAUCCCCAUAGAAACGACGACUGAACGAUGCCGAGGAAGGAACUAGACCAGCCAUAUUUGGCAGCAAGAGGAACAAUCGCAACCGACAUAACGACUCUAUCAGCAUUACAAAGACACAUAACGAAUGCUGUUAAUGCAACCACUUUAAACCUCUCCGGCAAGCCGAAUCUAACUCCGGCGGCGGCGGCGGCGGC
RNAcentral lists this unclassified non-coding RNA (402 nucleotides) under Hevea brasiliensis (rubber tree). Lineage: Eukaryota; Viridiplantae; Streptophyta; Magnoliopsida; Malpighiales; Euphorbiaceae. The record is from RNAcentral.